Molecule: unclassified non-coding RNA, 1209 nt
Filed under: Hevea brasiliensis (rubber tree)
Lineage: Eukaryota; Viridiplantae; Streptophyta; Magnoliopsida; Malpighiales; Euphorbiaceae
Source: RNAcentral
UAAAGUACGGGGGAAUCUCAGGAAAAUGUUCUUUAGCCCAAGUAUCAUGAGUGUUCUAACAUGAGGCUGCUACAAUUGGACAUGUACAUUAAACCUUUCGCAAACCAACUUCUGUAACAUAAAACACAGAAAUAGCAUUUUCUCCAUAUAACCUUUCUUGUCCUCGUUAGAAAGAACUCCAAGAUUUUUCUUUUCUUGAGAAUAAUGAGUGCCAUUGGCUGGUUUCACUUCUUUAGGCUUGUAACAAAUAUAACUUGCGGCAUUAUUACUUGAUCAGCCUGCCAAGUCUCAGGAAAAUGCAAUUUAUUUACAGCAGAGGAUGUGGUUACAGAUUUUUGAAUACAUGCAAGAUGUUCGGAUAAAUGGAAAAUUUGUUGUAAUUAGUUCAUGUUACAACAAAUUUUCCAUGUAGCUAUUCACAAAAUUCAUAUUUACAGCAAAGGAACUGGAGGAAAAUUAUAGGUUAUGUGCAUGCGCUUUGAUUCUGUGUUAUCUCCUCAGGUAGACUUCAACUUAUCCAACCUGUAAAAUAUCUGCAAAAUUGAUAUGAGAUUUGAGAGAUCUAAGCAGACAACCAAGAAACAGAAAGACAGUGACCAUGUAACGUCAGCGAUAUGAACUUGAGCUCACCAGAAUGGAGUGAAUCUCUUCUAGAAUAGGCACUAGUAGUGAAAUGAAGGUUUCCAUAUCCUCUGUAAGUGUGUCAUUGUUUUCAUCUUUUCGCUUGAGGAGAUUAAUGAAGGCCUUCGUAUCAGGAAUUAAUUUAAGAGCUACUCUAUAAGCAGCAGAUGAAAUCCAUCCAUGCCAUGGCUUCAGAGUAAUAUUGUAAGAAUCUUUUACAGCUUCCUCCAUUUCCUGAUCAGGAUCCUUCACUAAUCUUUGUAAUAAAGCAACUGUAAAAUCCAAGGAUCUGGGGAGCGAAUUGAGUUUCGUUUUUCUCGAAUUAAUAGUGAUCAACUAUUGAAAUUUGCAUAAUCUGAUGAUGAUAGACUAUUAAACAGGAGAGAAUGACAUCCUAAAUAUGCUUCAGCAGAAACAGAUAGAAUAUUAAUAUUGUAAGAACCAAUAAUUGAAAAAAGCCAAGCACGCAAGUACAUCAUUGUCGGCCAUUAAAUAAGCAUACGCGGUAAUCUAUUACUUGGUUAUUUAAUUUCUAUUAAUGUUAAUGACGGACUAAACUAAGUUGAACCCAUGUUCUAAUGUGCUUAC